This 592-nucleotide long non-coding RNA is filed under the name Arabidopsis lyrata. RNAcentral describes it as "long non-coding RNA (ALYR_LNC000998)". Lineage: Eukaryota; Viridiplantae; Streptophyta; Magnoliopsida; Brassicales; Brassicaceae. The record is from RNAcentral.
GUACCACUACAACUACUGCUUCGACUCACUGGUAAUCUCGCGUUUCUAGUGGUGGUUCGGAGUUUGAUCUCCGGUGUACGGACUAUCCUAGCCGGAGAAAAUCCCAAAUCAAAGAUGAUUUAGAGUUUCUGAUUGAAUUAACACGAGCCGCCAUGCUCGAUGAUCUUCGAAUCUGCGGUUGCGGACUCGGUUUCUCAUUCCUUUGCGUCUCUGCUUGCCUUGACUUCGCUCAUCGCUCGAUUGGAGGCUCUUUCUCUAACUGCGAAGCUUCUCUUCUCCAAUAAGCUCGAGAUCGACAAGGUUUUGAUUUUUGAAAAAUAUAAAUUUCUGAAAUUUUUGUUUAGUUUCUGACUAAACAGUUCGAUUCUAAUUACGAUGAUAAAUUUGGUGGAAGGAUCUGAAUAGCAAUGUAUUCGUAAAGAAUUUUGAGAUAGGGUUACCAAUUUCAGAAAGCAUAACUUGAUUUUAGAUUGAAUUUUAAGUUUGCUUAGAUCAUCUAUUGAUCACAUGGAUUACAUCAGAUGGAAGUUUAGUUGCAAUGAAGAAAUAAUUUGUGUGGUUGGUUAUCUAAUUUCUUUUAAAUGUUUGUUUG